CUUUCUUUGCUGGCGACCGGCGCACGGGUGAGUAACACGUAUCCAACCUGCCCUUUACUCGGGGAUAGCCUUUCGAAAGAAAGAUUAAUACCCGAUAGCAUAAUGAUUCCGCAUGGUUUCAUUAUUAAAGGAUUCCAGUAAAGGAUGGGGAUGCGUUCCAUUAGGUUGUUGGUGGGGUAACGGCCCACCAAGCCUUCGAUGGAUAGGGGUUCUGAGAGGAAGGUCCCCCACAUUGGAACUGAGACACGGUCCAA
This 254-nucleotide ribosomal RNA is filed under the name uncultured bacterium. Its description in RNAcentral is "partial 16S ribosomal RNA". It matches the Rfam family "Bacterial small subunit ribosomal RNA", at positions 79 to 334 of the family's 1533-position model. The record is from RNAcentral.